Molecule: unclassified non-coding RNA, 148 nt
Filed under: soil metagenome
Description: partial contains small subunit ribosomal RNA, internal transcribed spacer 1, and 5.8S ribosomal RNA
Source: RNAcentral
UUUCCGUAGGUGAACCUGCGGAAGGAUCAUUACAAAUAGGAGGGGGGGUGGUUGUGUAACUACUCCCUACGUUUACGCUUGAUUGUUCGACAGAGUUAUUGUGAAGAAGAAUUUGACACAACUUUUAACAAUGGAUCUCUUGGCUCUU